This 211-nucleotide long non-coding RNA is filed under the name Mytilus galloprovincialis (Mediterranean mussel). The record is from RNAcentral. Lineage: Eukaryota; Metazoa; Mollusca; Bivalvia; Mytilida; Mytilidae.
CGCAAAUGAGGUCAGGUUUAAGAAUAAUCUUUAUUUAGUUUGUAUUACAUAUAAUCUUACCAUCUCCUUGUGUUUUCUCCUAUUAUCCUAAUAUCAACUUUCGUUCAGUGGUGAACUGGUUACUUGGCGUGCUGAAUAUGAAUCCGACCUAUCAACCAUCCAUUAUCACCAAUAGCCAUCAUCAACAUCAUCAUUGUCAGUAUCAUCCGCC